This 433-nucleotide ribosomal RNA is filed under the name uncultured bacterium. RNAcentral describes it as "partial 16S ribosomal RNA". It matches the Rfam family "Bacterial small subunit ribosomal RNA", at positions 29 to 507 of the family's 1533-position model. The record is from RNAcentral.
AGCGAACGCUGGCGGCAGGCCUAACACAUGCAAGUCGAACGAACUCUUCGGAGUUAGUGGCGGAUGGGUGAGUAACCCGUGGGAACGUGCCUUUUGGUUUGGAAUAACUCAGGGAAACUUGUGCUAAUACCGAAUGUGCCCUUCGGGGGAAAGAUUUAUCGCCAUUAGAGCGGCCCGCGUCUGAUUAGCUAGUUGGUGAGGUAAUGGCUCACCAAGGCGACGAUCAGUAGCUGGUCUGUGAGGAUGACCAGCCACACUGGGACUGAGACACGGCCCAGACUCCUACGGGAGGCAGCAGUGGGGGAUCUAGCGAAAUGGGCGAAAGCCUGACGCAGCCAUGCCGCGUGAAUGAUGAAGGUCUUAGGAUUGUAAAAUUCUUUCACCGGGGACGAUAAUGACGGUACCCGAAGAAGAAGCCCCGGCUAACUUCGUG